Molecule: long non-coding RNA, 2950 nt
Organism: Thunnus maccoyii (southern bluefin tuna)
Lineage: Eukaryota; Metazoa; Chordata; Actinopteri; Scombriformes; Scombridae
Exons: 6
Source: RefSeq, a predicted model, not a curated record
GUAAUAUAAAUUUUACAUUGGCUCAUUCUUUAUAUGUUGAGUGGAUUUCAUAACUUGUGCCCAAAAUGUAUUAUUUGGAGACCAUUUGCUCACAUCUGGCAAUGUCGCCUUAUCAUGAUAUACCUGAAUUACUAUCAAUGUGAAAAGGUUUUCCAUUCAGAUCUUGGCAACACCCCACACUUACUUUCCCACUGAGCCACCUCCAUUAUACUAACACUGGCUGUUCCGGACAGUAAUGGCGCAAAUACAGUUUGAUUAGAGACCAGUGAGAUAUGACUACUUUAAAUUAAUGAGUGUGCACAGUAGGGGCAGAAAGCGCUGGUCCUAGUGGCUCUGUGGUGCUAAUUCAGGCAAUCCUGACUCAAGUUGGCUGGGCAGCCAAACAGCUGUGCAGGACUGUUUGUUUUAUGCUGUUUAUUGAAAUGAGUUAUAAAUCCUUCCCCCCGCUUCACGGGGCUUGGAUGGGAUUUAGCAGAGCGGGGACGUAGAGAUGAUUGCUUUGUCACAGGUUGGGUACUCGUUAAUGCCCUAUGUGGCGACAGGUUGACCUACAGUUCUUGUAAAAAUAAAAUCAUUUGUUAAACAAAACGUAAGUCCUGUGUGGGUCAUGGCAGGCAUAAAAGAGGAAAUUUGUAAGAUCUGAGCAGUGGAAUAAGUUGAGAUGUAGGUUUUUGUGGGGAGUAUAUUGGUCCUUGGGGAGAUGAUUAUGAGGCCUGCAUGGUUUAAGUGGUAACAAGGCAGUAUUGCAUCUGCUGAGAGGUAGACAUUAUACUCACUGUGGUAAAACUGGGUAGAAGACAUAAAGGUCAGACGUAAGUGGAAAGUAGGGCGCAGCUGAAUUGCCUUCUCUUUCAGGAGAAUAGCCUGUGUAUUGUAGAAAUGGUUCGCUGGGAAUUUUGAUCCACUGGUAAUAAGCCUCGCAAGGCUUUCUUCUUCAAGUCACCCUCUCUGGCUCAGGCUCUUUCUUUUUUUUCUCCCCAUUCAUUCUCUUAUUCGCUCUUUUCUCAUGAGUUAGCAACCCCCACAUCUCUUUUUUGUAUACCUUGUCCUUUUCAUUCUGCUUUCUCACAUUUGUCUCCACUCUUCAAACCCUUAUGACGAACCUCUCUUUACUUAUGUUCUCUAUUAACAUCACCAUCCAAAAAAGCAAAGGACUGCAUAUCCAGGUUCUCAUCUAUCUUUCCGGGUACCAUACUGUCUCAUUACUUGUUUGCUGUCGGCCAAACUGCCUUCUCAAUACUUGUCACCCCACUGACAAUGUCUGUGCCUGUAAAGUACAGUAUCUGUUUCUGUUGGCUACUGCAGUUUAGUAUUGGUAACCUACAAUGUACACCGGAUGUGGUUGCGUCGCGUUCUGCUUGCAUUGCAGCUGCCAGAGUGGAUCGUACUCCAGCCACUAUGUCCAUCAGACACUUGAAGCAAGAGAGAGAAAAUCAAAGAUAGCACCCCUGAAAAGCUUUCACCGGACAUUGGAACCAUGGUGGAGAUGUAACGCAGGUGUGACGCAACCAAGCCGCUUCCAAUAGACAUUCUGGCGGCUGGUAAGGGCGCAUCUCUCUCCUCGAUCAAGUGUCAGGCGGACCACAUAGAUGCGCCGCCGUCUCCUCAGCAGUCAUUAAUAUCAGAACAAACCCCGACUCUCCGGAGAACAGCCAAUAGCGUCAGAGAAGCAGGCGAGGUGCUCGCAGCAUCCCAGCGCUGGUUGGCUGAGAGGAGCCGUCAGUCAUAUCCCAGAAGCCUGUUCUCAUCUAUGUCUUCUGUUGGAGUGCAGGGGAAUGAGGAAGAAGGCGCAGGCAGGGAAGAAAAUGGAUAUCUGUACCUAUUAGCACCAGAGCUCCCGUCUCAGAUCCCAGGAGGAUUUCUAACACAAUGUUCUACAAACUGAUGUUCCUGGAGGUCGGGAAGGGUUAUCCGCAGCCUCGGAAGAAGAGACAUACCUCAUCUGUCAGCCCGGAGGGUUCUGAUCCAAAGACUGUACAACAGGAGGCUGGUUUAACACCUCCUGUGUCUGAUCUCACUUUUACCUGCUAUGGUGUCACUUGCUUACCUGUUGUGCCUUUGGGACUUCUUUGAUUUUGCUUGGUCAAUAUCACCUAAGAUUCCUUUUUGAAUCUCCAGUAGAACUUAUUCAAAUUUCAUGUAAAUUGCACAAAAUAAAUUAUUUUGAAAGUUUACUCAUAAAUAGAUGACCUUUAUGAAUAAAUAUAAUGCUGUGAGAGUAUUUAGACAGUUUGUUUUAAUUGGAUGCAGAUGGUUUUGCCAUGCCCUAGGUGCUGCUCACUCAAACUUACAACUCAAAAGUAUUGACAUGAGCAGCAUAAUGGCACCAACAGAGACUCAGAUUUCUUCAGUAGAAAUCAUCUAAAGAAACAGACCUCUAUACCUUGGACCUUUACUGUGUAAGUUGACCGUGGUGACUUCACACCUCAUGAAGCCAGUCAAGGGUGCAGUCAGCGCUUCAUAAAACCGCUCUGACAGAGCUUGGCAGUAUCGAGGAGGAGCUUGGAUUUUUCAUAGAUAAAAACAGGAGAUCACCCUGCCAUGAAAAAUAUGCAUCAAAUGUAACACUAUAAAACAUUAUUUUGGGGAGGGGGAGCUUCCUGUGAAAAGGCCUGAGGUGUUUACAGUGUGAGUUAUGUUCUCACUCUUGCUUGUUUAUUGCAGAGUUUGGGCGAAUAUUCCAAAGGCGUUUCAUGGUGACAUUUUGCAAUGUGUUCCGCAGAGGGAGAAAAGGCCACAGAGGGCAGUAGAAUUUAUUGACUGAAUUUCACAGUUAUAAAUGGGUCUUUUACAAGUGACAUAAAGAAAAUGAUCUGUUCUCUGACGAGGCAGUGGAGAUCUGUAAACUUCUUCUGUGUACUGCCAGCAGUCAUGGCACUUGUAUUGAAUAAAGUUUCAUUCAGUGGACUGUAACUUUGCUUUUGAUGAAUAUUGUGCAUCGCAUUGAAGA